UGGGGAAUCUUGCGCAAUGGGCGAAAGCCUGACCCAGCAACGCCGCGUGAAGGAUGAAGUAUUUCGGUAUGUAAACUUCGAAAGAAUAGGAAGAAUAAAUGACGGUACUAUUUAUAAGGUCCGGCUAACUACGUGCCAGCAGCCGCGGUAAUACGUAGGGACCAAGCGUUGUUCGGAUUUACUGGGCGUAAAGGGCGCGUAGGCGGCAAUUCAAGUCAUCUGUGAAAUCUCCGGGCUUAACUCGGAACGGUCAGAUGAUACUGCUUUGCUAGAGUGCAGAAGGGGCAAUCGGAAUUCUUGGUGUAGCGGUGAAAUGCGUAGAUACCAAGAGGAACACCUGAGGUGAAGACGGGUUGCUGGGCUGACACUGACGCUGAGGCGCGAAAGCCAGGGGAGCAAACGGGAUUAGAUACCCCCGUAGUCCCUGAGCGGGCUGGCAAGGCGCAU
Molecule: ribosomal RNA, 447 nt
Filed under: uncultured bacterium
Lineage: Bacteria
Description: bacterial SSU rRNA
Rfam family: Bacterial small subunit ribosomal RNA
Source: RNAcentral